UAGGGAAGGGGCUAGCGUUGUUCGGAAUUACUGGGCGUAAAGAGCGCGUAGGCGGCUUACCAAGUUGGGGGUGAAAUCCCGGAGCUCAACUCCGGAACUGCCUUCAAAACUGGUAGGCUCGAGUCCGGAAGAGGGGCGUGGAAUUCCCAGUGUAGAGGUGAAAUUCGUAGAUAUUGGGAGGAACACCGGUGGCGAAGGUGGCGCCCUGGUCCGGUACUGACGCUGAGACGCGACAGCGUGGGGAGCAAACAGG
This 253-nucleotide ribosomal RNA is filed under the name uncultured bacterium. Its description in RNAcentral is "partial 16S ribosomal RNA". It matches the Rfam family "Bacterial small subunit ribosomal RNA", at positions 524 to 776 of the family's 1533-position model. The record is from RNAcentral.